Molecule: ribosomal RNA, 390 nt
Filed under: uncultured bacterium
Lineage: Bacteria
Description: bacterial SSU rRNA
Rfam family: Bacterial small subunit ribosomal RNA
Source: RNAcentral
GACGAACGCUGGCGGCGUGCUUAACACAUGCAAGUCGAGCGGUAAGGCCCUUUCGGGGGUACACGAGCGGCGAACGGGUGAGUAACACGUGGGUGACCUGCCCUCAGCUCUGGGAUAAGCCUGGGAAACCGGGUCCAAUACCGGAUAUGACUCCAUGACGCAUGUUGUGGGGUGGAAAGCCUUGUGCGGCUGAGGAUGGGCCCGCGGCCUAUCAGCUUGUUGGUGGGGUGANGGCCUACCAAGGCGACGACGGGUAGCCGGCCUGAGAGGGCGACCGGCCACACUGGGACUGAGACACGGCCCAGACUCCUACGGGAGGCAGCAGUGGGGAAUCUUGCGCAAUGGGCGAAAGCCUGACGCAGCGACGCCGCGUGAGGGAUGACGGCCUGG